CCUACGGGCGGCAGCAGUAGGGAAUAUUGCUCAAUGGGGGAAACCCUGAAGCAGCAACGCCGCGUGGAGGAUGAAGGUUUUAGGAUUGUAAACUCCUUUUGUUAGAGAAGAUUAUGACGGUAUCUAACGAAUAAGCACCGGCUAACUCCGUGCCAGCAGCCGCGGUAAUACGGAGGGUGCAAGCGUUACUCGGAAUCACUGGGCGUAAAGAGUGCGUAGGCGGGGUAAUAAGUCAGAUGUGGAAUCCUGUAGCUUAACUAAAGAACUGCAUUUGAAAAUGUUAAUUUGGAGUGUGGGAGAGGAGGGGGGAAGUCUGGGGGAAGGGGUAAAAGCCGUAGAGAUAAAGAGGAAUACUCAUGGCGAAGGCGACCUGCUGGAACAUUACUGACGCGGAUGCACGAAAGCGUGGGGAGCAAACAGGAUUAGAUACCCGGGUAGUC
Molecule: ribosomal RNA, 440 nt
Filed under: uncultured bacterium
Lineage: Bacteria
Description: partial 16S ribosomal RNA
Rfam family: Bacterial small subunit ribosomal RNA
Source: RNAcentral